Molecule: unclassified non-coding RNA, 148 nt
Organism: Pongo abelii (Sumatran orangutan)
Lineage: Eukaryota; Metazoa; Chordata; Mammalia; Primates; Hominidae
Rfam family: Metazoan signal recognition particle RNA
About the family: The signal recognition particle (SRP) is a universally conserved ribonucleoprotein. It is involved in the co-translational targeting of proteins to membranes.
Source: Ensembl
GCUGGGCAUGGUGGCACACACCUGUAGUCCCAACUACUUGGGAGGCUGAGGCAGGAGGAUCACUUGAGCCCAGGAGGUCAAGGGUGCAGUGAGUCCCAAUCGUGCCACUGCACUCUAGCCUGGGCAACAGAGCAAGACCCUGUCUCAA